CCUACGGGAGGCUGCAGUAGGGAAUCUUCCACAAUGGGCGAAAGCCUGAUGGAGCAACGCCGCGUGGGUGAAGAAGGUCUUCGGAUUGUAAAACCCUGUUGUUAGAGAAGAAAGUGCGUGAGAGUAUCUGUUCACGUUUCGACGGUACCUAACCAGAAAGCCACGGCUAACUACGUGCCAGCAGCCGAGGUAAUACGUAGGUGGCAAGCGUUAUCCGGAUUUAUUGGGCGUAAAGGGAACGCAGGCGGUCUUUUAAGUCUGAUGUGAAAGCCUUCGGCUUAACCGGAGUAGUGCAUUGGAAACUGGGAGACUAGAGUACAGAAGAGGAGAGUGGAACUCCAGGUGUAGCGGUGAAAUGCGUAGAUAUAUGGAGGAACACCAGUGGCGAAGGCGGCUCUCUGGACUGUAACUGACGCUGAGGUGCGAAAGCGUGGGGAGCAAACAGGAUUAGAUACCCUUGUAGUC
RNAcentral lists this ribosomal RNA (465 nucleotides) under uncultured bacterium. RNAcentral's name for it is "partial 16S ribosomal RNA". It matches the Rfam family "Bacterial small subunit ribosomal RNA", at positions 338 to 795 of the family's 1533-position model. The record is from RNAcentral.